AGAGUUUGAUCAUGGCUCAGAAUGAACGCUGGCGGCGCGCCUAAUACAUGCAAGUCGAGCGAGAAGACGUAGCAAUACGUUUGUAAAGCGGCGAACGGGUGAGGAAUACAUGGGUAACCUACCCUUGAGUGGGGAAUAACUAGCCGAAAGGUUAGCUAAUACCGCGUACGCUCCUUGGACUUCGGUUCAGGGAGGAAAGCGCUACCGUGGGUAGCGCGCUCUUGGAUGGGCUCAUGUCCUAUCAGCUUGUUGGUGAGGUAACGGCUCACCAAGGCUUCGACGGGUAGCUGGUCUGAGAGGACGAUCAGCCACACUGGCACUGCGACACGGGCCAGACUCCUACGGGAGGCAGCAGUAAGGAAUAUUGCGCAAUGGGCGAAAGCCUGACGCAGCGACGCCGCGUGGGGGAUGAAGGUCUUCGGAUUGUAAACCCCUUUCGGGAGGGAAGAUGGAAUGGGGUAACCCAUUCGGACGGUACCUCCAGAAGCAGCCACGGCUAACUUCGUGCCAGCAGCCGCGGUAAUACGAAGGUGGCAAGCGUUAUUCGGAUUUACUGGGCGUACAGGGAGCGUAGGCGGGUUCGGUAAGCCCUCUGUGAAAUCUUCAGGCUUAACCUGGAAAAGUCGGAGGGGACUGCCGGGCUAGAGGACGGGAGAGGAGCGCGGAAUUCCCGGUGUAGCGGUGAAAUGCGUAGAGAUCGGGAGGAAGGCCGGUGGCGAAGGCGGCGCUCUGGAACGUUUCUGACGCUGAGGCUCGAAAGCGUGGGGAGCAAACAGGAUUAGAUACCCCAGUAGUCC
RNAcentral lists this ribosomal RNA (797 nucleotides) under uncultured bacterium. RNAcentral describes it as "bacterial SSU rRNA". It matches the Rfam family "Bacterial small subunit ribosomal RNA", at positions 8 to 796 of the family's 1533-position model. The record is from RNAcentral.